AAAACCAAAACUAUGCCAGGUUUAAUAUAUAGAAUUGACUAGUUGAGAUUGCUUCAUCAGUGCAAAAUCAAAUUGUUUGCAAAAACUGGUUACAUUUAAACAAGAAAAAAAACUUAUUGGAAGAGCAUAAACCAAGCCAUGCAAAAGUGUAUAUGCUUUUGCAGAAAGUUAGUUUGGCUAUUUUUACAAGUAUAUCUUCAUAGGAAAAUUGCUUUCUGGAUGGUAGCUGAAAAUUUGUUUGUGAUUAAAAAUUAGAGACUCUACACUUGGACAAAAAGAACGAAAACCCGAAAACGAAAAAGCAAACAUAAAAUACUAUACUUUUUUUUAAAAAAAUAUUAUCACAUUAGAAAAGUACUAUAGUUUUUUUAAAAAAAUUAUUUUUUCAAAAUAAUCUCCUAUCCAAAAAAAAAAAAAAAAAGAUCCGCAAACAAAACACUUAUCAGAUGGAGGGCGUGUUUCUUCAGCGGUUGGAUUCUUGUGAAACUAAACUUUCAUGCUAGUUCAAACAUGCUCAAAGACUUGCUCUUUCUGGGAUUUUGCAUUGAAAUUUCCUUUGUCAGUCCGAAGUACUGUGUUCACUAUGUUGGAACAUUUUUCUUUUUUGGAAAAAAUAAAGAUAGCCAAGAACAUGAUAAACAUGUUGGUGCUUGACAGGCGUCGAGCCUAUACAAUAAUAAAUACCUGGUCAAAUAAAUUAUGAAUUUUGUAUACAGUAGUAAAUAAGGUCAAAUCCACAGAGACCGGAGAAAUUCGUUUCUCCUCUAGUUCAAAGUAGGGGGGAUUUUUAUAAAAAUGAAGAUAACUAAACAGCUCAAAGAAAAAUAAAUAAACAAAUAAAAAAUAAGUGAUAUUUUAUUAAAAUUAAAUCAAUAAUAAACAAGCUCUAACCAAGGACUAACUUUGGAAAUGGUUCAAUCAAUUGAUCAUCAAAAUAAUGAAAAUCUUAUUUAUUCGCUGAUAAAUAAUUUAUAACUACUAAACACACGAUGACAAUCAACUUCUUCUUACUGUAUCGGUGAUCAAGGUAUGACUAUUAAUUACUCCCCUAAUCAAGAAAUAACUCUAGAUACGAUCACAGAGUUCAAUUUUUCAAUUGUCUUAAGAAUUAAAGAAACCCUGUUCAAACCAAAUAACAAGCUAUGAGGGUUAUUUUAAGUUAACUCAUAUGUUUUCCUAACACAAAUUCAAUCAUGCCAGUCACCACUAAUUUAAAUUUUAAAUAAUUAUGGAUUUAACUGCUCUAACUGGUUUUAGGUUAUUAGAUUAAUUAAAUAUCGGGUGCCCUUGAUAUUCAAAUAAAAUAACAACCAUAAAAAAUUAAAUCAGAGAACAUACGAAUAUCAGUAUAUAAAAGAAAUAAAAAUAAUCAAUUCGAUUUUCACAAGUUUAGAUGAUUGUUCCUUGACUAGAAAAAGAAAUUUAGCCGCUCAUCAUGAGGAAUAAUCCAACCAAUUUCGUGGACAAAAGUUGCAUGAACAUUCGACAAUAAGAAAAGCGAAAGAAAAAAGAAAAAGAAAAGACGAAGAGAAAAACUCUUCAUUUAUUUGGUCUUGAUGCCAAAACUAAUCAAUCGUUUGCAAAACUCAAAGACAAAACAAAGUAGUUGCCUUGCGGAAGUACUAAUAGUCAGCCUAUCAGUUGUGAGGCUUGGCAAUUAACAGUGUAAUAUUUAUACUAGAAAAAAAAAAGAAAAGAAAAGGAAAGGAUAAACUCUUGAGAAAAAGGAUACAAUUUAUGUAUGUACAAUUUAUGAAAAAUGCACUUUAGCAAACCAAAUGGUGCUCCAACAAACAAAAAAAGAUCUUUGACAUAUACACUACCAUCACAUAAGUGCGUUUCAGAUAGAUUCUUGCAAAACUGAAAUUCAUGUUUCUAAACACAUGUUAAGAAAAAGGGUAUAAAUUAUUUUUUACGUAAAAUUUGUGAAUAGGGAACUUUAACAAACAAAUGCAUACCCAACUUUUAAGUGCUCUUAACAAACAAGAAAGCGUUUUGGCAUAUACAAUACAACUAUCAGUUGGUGGUGGUGUCUCAGACUCUCAGAUAGAAGAUUCUGUAAAACUCAAAUUCAAGCUUGUUCAGUGCACAUGUUCAGGGAUGCCCUUUGUAAAGCAAGAAUCACGAUUGGGCUCAGAUGGCCACACGAUGGAAAUGGGCAGGGACGGUUGCACCUGAGCGGUUAAUGGCCAGGAUUUGGUCUCAAAAUUUUGUGCAGCUGAGAUUACAAGUUGUAACUCGAUUUUCACGACAUGUGUGGGUUCCACAAAAAUUUGCUCUAAAGUUACGUGAUGUGCAAAAAAAAUUACACGAUAUACAAAGAAAGUUACGCGUAGUUGAUAAUAACGAAAACCGCCUGGGACGGUUGCAGGUGCAACCGUCCGUGCCCCCGAGUCCCUUUUACCCAAUACUUAGGUACGCAGAUGGACAAGUUAGUACGCAGGUCUAUAAAUGAAGUAGUCCUUCAUUUAUUCCUUUUACCUAAUUUUGCAUUAAUUCCAUUUCAAUUCAAUCACAAUAGGAAUCCCAUUGCCAACUACCUCUCUCUUUUCGUGUAGUUGAGAUUAAUUAAAGUCCAAGAUUAGGUAAGAGGAAUAAAUGAAGACUACUUCCCCUCUGUCUGUGAUGCUAUCUAAACCUGUUUGAAGACUUCAAGCACGGCAAACAAUUGAACACGUAUUUCAACAGUGCAACCACUCAACACUGUUGGCUCCAAAUCAGUUUCACUUCGCCGUCCUCGUAGUAUUAUUUUUUUUUUGUUAAUCGUCACUUUAUCUAUAUAAUUCUACUCUAUCAUAACCUAAAGAGGAGGCCCAUCAUUUUAUCUAUAUAAUCCUACUCUAUUCUAACCUAAAAGGGAGGCCCAACUAGGUCUAUAAGAAGCCGAUGGGAACUGAAUUACCAUCGGACCAAACAAAUACACUACACCCAUCUUGAUUUUUUUAAAAAGAAGUCACAUAUUGUGACAAUUGAUGGGAGGCAAGAGUUGGUGGUAGCCACCAACCCAAAGGCUGGUGGUUUCCUCGUAGCAUUACAAGAAAGUAGGAAUUGUUCUAUUCAAAAUUGACAUGUUUAAUUGAGACUAGUAUUUAGGGCACAUGCCAAUGUGUGAGCAACUAAUAGGAAAAUACUAUUAAAAUUUUUUUUGAGCAAAUUAAUAUCAUUUCCAGAAGAAUUUGUUUUAUAUUUUGACAAUAGAUAUUAAAAAAUUCACCAUAACAAAAUGUAUAAAUAGAUAGUUAUUCAGAAAUAGUUCAUAAUUAACCAUAAUUGGUGGUUGAUUAUAUUAGGUUGUUAGUAAAGGUCAUUUAGGAAAAACGUAAAGUGACAAAAUUUUGUUGACACCAAAAUCUCCCUCCACCUUUGUGUAUAGCAUAGAUAUUUCUUUAUAUUACAAAAGUAUAAUUCCUCCGAUAAAUGAUAAUAAUACAAGCCAAGCAAUGUUUUCCUAAUUUAUUUUCUUGGCGACAGAAGAAAUUAAAGUGGGUUUCGGCUGUGUUUUGAGGAAAGGCAGCAGUUAAAAUUGGGAUUUAGGGAAUGCAGGGCUAGUGGUUGAGCGUUUUGAGCAUGUGGGAGAGGCGAGUUGUUGCAGCCUUGUGGGUUGUUAGACAAAUGUGGAGAGACAGAGUUUGGUGCAAUGGUGGAGGCUGAAAUAACGAGGAAGAUGAAGAGAACGCAAAGACUGGAUAUGUUAGUCUUUUAGCUAAGUCACAUAAGUUCGGAUGAGUCUAUCCGACUUAAAAUUGCAAACGAAUCAAAUCGAAUCGAAUUUUGACAUAAUGAGUCGAGCUCGAUUCGAUUUUAUUAAGUUCAAAUUCGAACUUAAACUCAAAGAAUUUUUAAUUGUAAAACUUAAAUUUGAAUUUGAUUUCAAAUUCGAAUCUAGUAGAAUUUUAAAAAAUAAAAAAUAAUUAUUUUUUAAAAAUAUAUAAAAUAGUCAUUUUCUAAUAAAUAAAACAAAUAUUAGAGUCACAUAUAUAAUUUUAUUAUUAAAAUAAAAAUUAGAAAAGAGAGUUGGCUGGCGAGUUUUUCUUUGCUCAUUUCAAGUUCAAUAACUCGAUUUGAUCAAAUCAACUCCCAAGGAUUUGAUUUAUUUGCAAUCCUAACAAGAUAAUUCAGUCGUAUGGAGAAUCAUUUCCCUAUUUAAUUUAUCACUGAACACAACGCGUAGCACAUAGUUUGAGACAACAAUUUUGAAGCCAUUGCAGGGCUCCACGUACGAAAUGUAGCAGCACAGAAGCAAGUUAAAGUCCUCCUCUCCCUCUCCUCAGUCAUCAUCUCCAAACUUCUAUUCUUAUCCACUUCCCUCGACAAGCGUCAAAUCUCCACACCUAAGUUGUCCCUUCAAUCUCCACGUGUAUUCCCACGACAACGUGUCACCCCCUCCCAUUUCCUAUCCUCUCCACGCCCAUGCACAUACUAUAAAACCAUGUGAAGUUGGUCACUUGAGCAUGGUAUGGUCAAGGGAUAUAUGCUCGUUUAGUUAUAGGCAAGGAUUUGGUACAGAAAUAAGCCAUAAUUAAUCUUUGCCACAGAGAGAAAAAUGCAGAAAGCAAAGGAAACAUCAGCCGACGUAGCUGCUUCGGCAAAGUCCGGUAUGGAUAAGACCAAGGCCGCUUUACAAGAAAAGGUAAGUUGUUUUAACUUGUUUAGCACGACCUAGGAGGCUGAAAAGUUCGAUUUUGGUUCAAAACGACUUUGUUUAAACCAAUGAAUUUACCAAUUCAACCCAAGAUUGCUGGUAGAGUGUGUCAGUAUUGAUAUAUUUUUGUUGUUUUUGGGUACGUAUAUAUGCAGGCUGAAAAGAUGACUACUGAUCCAGUGAAAAAGGAGAUGGCUGAGCGGAAGAAGAGGAAAAGUUCUUUGAAGCAGAGUGUGAGAAGGGACGGAUGCGCAAAGCUGCCAGGAGAGGCGACCACAACCCUCCACACGGCGGGUGAUCCGCUCGGCCACGCUGGUUACUCGGCUCAAGGGCCGGUUAGGGAGGAUUAUCCAACUAGCGUGACUAGUGGAGUUGUUGGGUCGCAGUAUCCUGCAGGAGUGAACACGGGGAGUGGAAGGACCGGUGUUUUGAUCCUGACCGGGUGGAUGUGGACAGACCGGGAGUUCAAGACCCGGGGUUGGCGGAGGAGCUAGGACUGGUUAUGGACCUGGUGCUACACAUUAGCUAGUCUGAGUGUUUAUGACGCAUGUUUCAGUUUGAGCCAAUACUUUGUUUAGUAGUACGUUAAGGGGUGAUCCUCUUAUAACUAGGGUUGUAUUAUACAGAAUUAGCCAGGGUUUGGAAUAAGGGAAUAACAUUGGAGGUUCUUUAAAACCUUUAACUUGCACAUGUUGAUAGAUUUAUGGUGUUGUUUCGAGGAAUUCAAAUGUUAAUUUUUUCGAAAGCAAUGAAAUCUAUUUUUAUGUCAGAUCACACAUGACAUGAAUAUUUGGUAUUUUCCCAAGCAGUACGUAGUUUCCGGGCCAGCAAGAAUUUCAGGCCAGAGUAGAACUAUCUUAAUUUCCAACUUCUUCAGACCACAUGAUAAGAUAAAUCCUGAGUUCACCUCUUGAACAAGCAUUUGUCUGCCAUUCAUUCCAUUGUAGUGUUGUGAAGUGCUUAAUUAUUGAACAUGAAAUUUUGGUUAUAAGCACAGUAAUUGGCUCGGAGGUUGAACCGCUCGUCGGUGGACCGCCCCCAGGCCAGCCCGCUUUUUGAAUCUGCUUUGAGCAGUUUACUUGGUCAAAUUCAUUUAACCAACUGGUUUAAUUAUGAGGGAACCCGGCGGUGGUUUGCUUAAACACACUUUUAUCAAGGUUUCAAAUUUGGAUAUCCUUCUCUAAUUUUACCACUAAUUUAGACUUUUACAUGUUGACCAAAUGUUGCUUUAACUAUAUUUAUUUACUUUCUUAUGUAAAAUUAAUCGCUAGAACUUUCAAACUGAGAAGUUCCCAUUCCAUCAUUAUUGCUCGACUUUGAUGCUUACCAACGAGAUGUCUCCAGCAAGUAUUAGCUCAUAGAUAGUAAACACCAAUAUGGAGGGUUUCCACACAUAUAUACAUUUUAAUGGCAUUAAUAUUUUGUUAGCACAAUUGUUGUAUAUAUUCCCAUGCCAUACAAUUCGUUUUUAUAUGUAUUCCGGACACACACACAUACUGCGUGUAUCUUUAUAAUGCAUUCAAUUUAGUUAAUAUUACUUUUUGUCGUGUUGCACGCGCAUCGAUUAAUUAAUACUAUAUUACUUUCUGUCGUGUUGCACACGGGAGAUAUUACUUUCUGUCAUGUUGCACACGCGUCGAUCAAUUAAUUAAUACUAUAUUACUUUCUGUCAUGUUGCACACGCGUCGAUGUGUCUCGAUAACUAGAUAUAAUUUCUAGUUUAAAAUUUUGUUGUAUUAGUAAAUAAAAUAAAUUUGAUUUGUCUUUGCCUACGAGUCUGUAUUCGUAAAGUAUAGUAAAAAAUGAAAUUGAGUGCUCUAUCAAUAUUUAUAUUCUCAUAAUAUAUCUUUUUAAGUACAAUAAUUAAUGUUUAAACACACCUUACAUAUACUAAGAGAUAACAAAUAUAUUAUCAGCAUUUAUAAACAUUAUAUUUUAAUGACUUACUGACUCAACCAUUAAUCCCGCCAGUAUGUUUGUUUGAGUUCUUCCCGGGUCAUGUUUGAUAAGUACGGCAAUAAGUGAUUAUAGUGUGCUUUUUUGGUUCGUUUUCACCCUAAUUAAGAUUUUCCCUGACAUGGUGGGUUCCCUGCCUGCUUCGUUUGUUUAGAACCGGUGGGGUGGGCCGGGGAGGGGACAGUGGGGGAGUCAUAGAAAAAACAACGCUAAAAUUUUGUACGUGCUCUUUUUUUAUUUAAAAUAUUAGGACAUAUUAAUAUUUACGUAACUAGUAGAAUUAAUAUAAAGACAUAAUAUAAAAAGAACAUUAGGACAUACUCGAAGUUUACUCGAAGAGUCGAAGUUAAAGUAUUAUUUUACUUUUUUUAAAAAAAAAUACAAAAUCAUUUACAAUUGCUCACGAUUAGCCUUUCUGUUUUGAUAAAAAUUUAGGGUUAAUUCCACUUUGUCCCCCCAAACUUUGGACGAUUAUCCACUUAAGUCCCUAAACUUCAAAAUUGGACACUUAAGUCCCUAAACUUAUAAAUACCUCCCACCUAAGUCCCUGAACUUAUAAAAUUGGACACUUAAAACCCUAAACCCUUAUAAAAUGGGACACUUCGACUACCAACGGCAUUCAGGAUUUGUUAACAAUUUUCCUUAAGUGGGAGGUAUUUAUAAGUUUAGGGACUUACGUGUCCCAUUUUGAAAUUUAGGGACUUAAGUGGAUAAUCGUCCAAAGUUUGGGGGGACAAAGUGGAAUUAACCCAAAAAUUUAUAACCUUUUCAUCCUCAACUCCUCGAAAUACAUUUUUGUUAAUAUAAAUAAUCAUUUACUCGAAAUUUCUAAAUGAAUGAGUGAUAAACCACACCCAACUUCAAAGAAACUAAAUGCCUAGACUCUAGAGGUUGGAAACUGUUGAGCUAUUUACUACCCAUUUUCUUUAACUUAAAGAUGUGGUCUUAAGUAUAUUUCACUCCUUGAUGAUAGAGCUUAGGGGUGCAUUUGAGUCGAUUCAAGUUCGAAUAGUAUCAUGUUUGAUCUCGAACUCAAUCAUUGCAAUUCUAUUCGAACUCGAGUUUAAGUAAAGAUUCUUAAACUUGAACUCAGCUGAGCAAGUAGUUUACAAACUCGAGCUCAAUUUGAAUAAGCUUGAGAAUCCUUACGAGUCAUGUCAUACGUGAACUCAAUUUUUUUGUGAUAAAUUUCAUAAUUUUCAUACUUAUAAGUAUAAUUUCACAUAUAUAUUUGUUUUCAAUUAAAAAUUUAAUUAUUCAAAUAAGUUUGUCAAAUACUUGAACCUCAUUUUCUAAGGUCUAUACUUGAUUCAAAUUCAAAAACGAACUGCUAAAACUCGAUUCGAAUUCGAUUUUAAUUGAACUCGACCAAGUUACUUGCAAAUAACUCACAAGCACCUUGAAUCUCUAGCACUCAAAUUUGAUUUUGACCGAGCUCGAUCGAGGUGCUCACGAAUAACUCAGGAGCGCCUUGAAUCUCUAGGGUUUCUAGCAACCCUAGGGGAGGCAAACCGUGACUGCAUUUCAAAAUCAAUGGAGCCCUAAAAAAUAAAAAUUAGCAAUGCCAUAAUCCUAUUGCUACGUGGCGUGGCCCUGUCUUCUCGGGGAAAAUUCCCGACAAAGCCUUAUCUUUCUUUACGCGGAUUGGUAAACUGCCCUCGGUGGCCGCUCAGCAGUCCACGUAUAAUAGAGGAUGCCACCUUGUGGACGUGUGUUUGAAACCCCACGAAAACUGGAGUCAAGUGUUCCUCUUGUUUGAGUAACACUUGUCUUUAUCUCCAUACUUUCCACAAUCUAUUUAACCGCUUUCUCGGACCUUGUUCAAGAAUCAAAUCAUCAAUCAAACAGUUACAAAGUUUCUCUUAGAUAACUUCUUGCAAAUUAACACUACCAAGUUAGAUUUCAGAGCAAAAGAGAGAGUGGAAAAUGCAGGCCAUCAAGGAGAAAGCAGCCAAUGUUGCCGCCUCAGCCAAGUCCGGAAUGGAGAAAACCAAGGCCACCAUGCAAGAGAAGUUUAUAUACUGCACUUAUUUAUCCCUUUCCCUAGCAUUAAUUUUCAAUUUUGACAUGCAAUUUACUGAACAAUAUCGCAAUUUUUUUAAGACUUGAAACAUGUCUGGAAAAGUGCACUCCAAAUCCUUAUGCGAACCAUUUUCUUGGCUCCAUGCAUCUACUAGUUCUUGAAUGCCAAUUUUACGCCAAAACUAUUAAGCAUGAUCAUAAAAUCCCUGUGUCACGCCUUUCUCUGCUAAUUUCUGAAACGGGAUGAAGCACAUGUAUUGCAACUAAAUUGUCUGAGCAGGUUGAUCGUGCCGCUGCAAAUAAUCCAACUGAGAAAGAGAUGGCGACAGAGAGGAAGGAACAGAAGGUGAAUCAGGCUGAAUUUGACAAGCGUGCGGCUCAGGAGCAUAACGCUGCGGCUAGGAAUGCAACCAAAAACACUGGCCAGCCGCACACUAUUCCACACGGGUGCACCAGGACAUCCUACCGGGACUCAUCAGCAGUCGGCCUUGCCCGGCCAUGGCACCGGACAGCCCACCGACAAGUUACGAAGGCGUGGUUGAGUCCCACCGCCAUUGGGACGGCCACUGGGACUGGCAGGACUAAUGCUGCCCAUAACACCCAUGUUGGUGCGGCUACUAACAUUGGUGGUUCUUAUACUUAGACUAGAUUAGAUAAUUGGACCUUUUAAAUCUUGCUUUGAAUAAGGACUUGGAACCUUUUAAGUUGGACGGUCCACUUGUUGUAUUCGACUAUUUCUGAUCUUAGGUUACUUAGGAUUUACAGCUUGCUUUUUCGAUAAUGUCAUUCGUAGGUUCACUUCUAGCAUCUAUGUAAAAGUUGUUUAUUACUAUUAGUGACUUUCGUGGAGUGGAAAUUUUUAGUAAUAAGUGAGGAUAUUACAUGUUCGUGGUAAUUCGUUUUCAUCCCAUGUUAAGUUUCUCCUCAACAUGGAUAGAUUUGAGACAUAAGAAUUUCUAUUAGUCCUUUUUUGAUAGAAUAGAGAGUUUCAAUAAAGACUCUUUCAUUUGAUCGAAUGCAUCAUGAAUUCUUCAUCAAUGUCUUUUAGUUACCCCCGCCCAAAAAAAAAAAAAAAAAAAAAACUAUAUCAGCUUUUUGGAUAGUGCCUUAUUUUCAAUAUACGUGACCAACGAGUUAAAGGAGAAAAUUAUCACCGGAAGAAGAUGCCUCACUCCAUGCCUUUUGUGAUCAACUAAUCGAGAUUUACUUCACCGGAAGGAAAUAAAAACAGACCCUCAAGCAUUAAUCAAAAUUAGUUUGCGCACUCCAUCUUCAGCUUGGCAACCCUUUCAGCAUAUCCAGAUGUACUAUAUACCAUGGGGUAAAAUUGUAGGCUAGAAAAAAGAAUUUAUUCUCUUUUCGGGUGAAGAAUAUCACUGGACUCCACGAUCAGCUAAUAUUCACACGUUAACAUAAAUUGGCUCAUAAAUUGACUCAAUUGACAAGGAUUGAUAAUUUCUUUACAAAAAAUCGUGUAUUUGAAUUUCGUUGCAGUUUGUGUUUGUAAGCGAUUUGUAAUAAUUUUUAUAAGUAAUUUAUGAUUUCGAAGGAUCAUGAUGAUGAUCGAAAUCGAAUCCACUCAAAUUAAAAGAAAAAAAAAAGAAAAAAACUAAUAUCCAAAAACACUAGUAAAGGUUAAAAAAUCAAGUUUGGCCAAGAAGGCAGACUGAUGAUCGAAAUCGAAUCCACUCAAAUUAAAAGAAAAAAAAAAGAAAAAAACUAAUAUCCAAAAACACUAGUAAAGGUUAAAAAAUCAAGUUUGGCCAAGAAGGCAGACUGCAAUGACCAUUCGCAUUUGAUUCGGACCCAUGUUUUAUCUGGGAAAAAAAAUUCCGAAAGAUGACUUGUUGUCAACUAUUACUUAUUUAAAACUGCCACCAGAUGUUUUUAAAUUCUGUGUCAGGACCAAAUAAAGUACCACGGGGUCGUUUAGUGUAGCAACCUUUGCGUUUAACCAAUCAGUGAUAAUACGAUGCCGUUCUACUUAAGGAAGGGCGGUGGAUGUAAUGAGCGCUAAAUUCUGUUGGGAUCAAUUGCAUAAAUAGUCCCUCUGCAUUUGUAAUACGGUUAUGAGAAUAAAUGCCAGAAUCAUUUUCUCUUUCCUUUCUGUUAGCUCUCUCUCUCCUUUCCCUCCCUCUCAUCUUUUCUGAUUCUUUCUUGUUCUUCUUUUCUUUCCCGUUCUCUAUACUCAGUUCCAAUUCCAGAAAUUGUCUUGCGACCCUGACAUUUGGUAUCAGAGCGGUCGAUCCUUGGCCGCGAAGAUAUCUAAUAUGGCAGAGAGCACUCGAUUUAGGAGUCUGGAAGAUCAACUCAAGAAACAGGAUAGUAAGCUGCAGGAAUUGAUGGAAUCUGUGGCAACAAUGCAGAAUUCAAGUAUGGAGGAGCUGCAGCAGAAGCUUCAUACCGACAUGGAUCAGAAUAAUGCGAAAUUGGAAGCAAUGGUGGGGAAUCUGGACCAGAAAUUCAUUAAGAUGGAGCAGAGGUUCAGUACGAUGAUGAAGCUGCUGAUGAAGGAGAAAGGCAUUUCUGACGGGGAUGGAGGAGGAACUGAACCAAUCUUACCGACACCUCUCCAUGCAUCUACGGUUGACACCUUCAAACGAAGGCCAGGGAGUCAACCUGAGAUGAGAGGUAGGCAGUUCUUUCCUAAUAUGCUCGUAUGGAGUUGCCAAUGUUUAGCUCUGGGAACCUAGGGAGUGGGUGAGAAAAUGUCAAAAAUACUUCCUGAAUUAUCAGAUAGCAGAAUGUCAGAAAGUAGAUGUGGCAGAAAUGUUUUUGGAAGGGAAGGCUGACAAUUGUUCCAAGGGGUAAAACUUGUGAAACCUGGACUGUCCUGGGGAGAAUUUAGUGAACUCUUGUGUGAGAGAUUUUCUGGAAGAAACUCACGUGACAUAGUGGAGGAGUUUAAUAAGUUACAUCAGAAAGGCACUAUUGAAGAUUAUGAGGAGAAAUUUGAGGAAUUGAAACACUAAUGCUGACCAGAAAUCCUAGAUUGGAUGAGUCUUACUUUGUUUCCAGUUUUAUUAGUGGACUCAAAGACGAGAUUAAGCCUAUGAUGAAGAUGUUCAAACCGGACACUAAUGAAGGUUUUUGAAGUGGCAGAGCUGCAAGAAUGCUCACUGGAAAUCCAGAGCAAACAAAGUAAGGCCACAGGGAGGGGGACAGUAGAACCAAGAUUUGGAAUGUACAAGAAUUCCACACAGGACCAGGCUCGCCACACUCAUACAGGUUACCAGCUAUCAUCCCUGCCCCAAGGAAAACUGAUGCAAUCCAUAGAGACCUCAGUAAGAUAACAGCUGAGGAGAUGCAGUAUAGACGUAAGCAUGGCUUGUGCUACAGAUGUGGGGAAAAAUUUGGAGUAGGACACCAGUGCAAGAAAGGAAAUCUGAAUUGUGUGAACACUGAAGAGGAGGAGGAGGAGGUUGAAUUUGAGGAUGCUGAAGGAGAGCAAGAUGAACUCACUGGAAGGGUGGGGGAAUUAGCAGAAGUAUCCCUCAAUGCAUUGUCUGGAGCCAUAAAAAGGAAGUCUAUCCUGCUGAUGGGAAAUUUAGGGGGAUUUCCAGUCAAGAUCUUGGUGGACACAGGAAGCUCUGACAGUUUUAUCCACCAUAGAGUUGUCAACCUGUUGCAAUUGCCAUACCACUCAAUCAGCCCUUUCACUGUGACCUUAGCAGAUGGGACUGACAUCACUAAUGGUGUCAUUAGUCCCAAUGUAAGCUGGGUGAUACAAGACUAUCGAUUCCAAUUUGAUCUGAAAAUAAUGGAGUUAGGGGGAUGGGAUAUAAUACUAGGAGUGGAUUGGAUGUGCCAAUUCAGUCCCAUUACUUUUGAUUUCCAUUCCCUCAGCAUUGCACUUAGUGAUAAGGAGAGUUUGCUGCACUUGCAAGGGUUGGUGAAUCAGCCUGCAAUGAGGCUAGUGAGGGGCAAGGACCUCAGAACGUUCAUACAGGAGAAGCAAACAAGCUGUGUAGCACUGGAGACAGAAGCAACAAAGGGAUCAGAGGAUCAGCUUCCAGACUCCAUAGGAAGAAUCCUGCAACAGCAUUCGGAGGUGUUUUCCACUCCUAAAGGCUUACCCCCAGAGAGGGAGCUGGAUCAUCAGAUCAACCUCAAACCAGGUGCUGAGCCUUUUAAACUCAAGCCAUACAGGUACCCCCACUCUCACAAAGCAGAAAUUGAAAAACAGGUUGCUGAGAUGCUCACUAAUGGAAUUAUUAUGCACAGCACUAGUCCUUUUGCUUCUCCAGUAUUGUUAGUAAAAAAGAAGGAUAAUUCUUGGAGGCUCUGUAUAGACUAUAGGAAACUGAAUGAAUUAACUGUAAAAGACAAAUUUUCUAUCCCCAAUAUAGAUGAGUUGUUAGAUGAGUUGCAUGGCACGAAAUAUAUGUCUAAACUCGAUCUCAGAGCUGGCUACCAUCAGCUAAGAGUUAAGGCAGUUGACAUUCCCAAAACUGCUUUCCAGACACACCAUGGCCACUUUGAAUUCUUAGUAAUGCCUUUUGGAUUGACAAACGCUCCAGCCACAUUCCAGGCAUUGAUGAACAGGAUUUUUCAGCUAUAUCUGAGGAAGUUCGUUUUAGUAUUCUUCGAUGACAUUCUGGUGUACAGUCCAACCUUGGAGUCGCAUGCACAGCACCUGUAAACUGUACUCACUGUAUUAGCAGAAAAUCAGUUAUACUGCAAAAGGUCAAAGUGUUCGUUUGCUCAAUCUUCAAUUGAAUACCUGGGGCAUAUAAUAUCUGAAGCAGGGGUGAGCAUGGACUCUACCAAGAUAGAAUGCAUCAAGUCAUGGCCUGUUCCUAAAACAGUAAAGGAAUUGAGGGGUUUUCUGGGAUUAACUGGGUACUACAGAAGGUUCAUAAGGGGUAUGGGGUGAUCAGUAAGCCACUGACACUCCUGCUUAAGAAAGAGGGGUUUACAUGGAAUCACAAUGCUCAGUUGGCUUUUGAAGAUUUAAAAAGAGCCAUGACCACAGCUCCAGUGUUGAGUAUGCCAAACUUUGAUCUUCCUUUUGUGAUCGAGACUGAUGCCUGUGGGGUUGGCAUUGGGCAGUACUGAUGCAACAGGGACAUCCCUUGGCUUUCCUUAGCAAAGCUUUAUCAGCUCAGAAUUUAGAGCUGUCAGUCUAUGAGAAUGAGCUUUUUGCAUUAGUAUUGAUUGUGAGCAAAUGGAAGCAUUAUUUAGUUGGCCACCACUUUAUCAUCAAGACUAACCACCAAGCCCUUAAACAUCUGUUAGAGCAAAGACUUACUCAUCCUCUGCAACACAAAUGGCUAACCAAACUACUUGGAUUGGAUUAUGAAAUACAGUACAAGAGAGGCUCAGAAAAUGGGGUAGCUGAUGCCUUGUCCAGAAGGAGAUUGGAGGGAAUUGACACGGGCAGUGAACAAGCUGAGCACCAGGUAUGUGCCAUCUCCACAGUUCAACCUAGGUGGAUGCAGGAGGUGCUAGAAAGUUAUACUGGGGAUACAGUGGUUCAGCAGAAGUUAGCUGAGAUACUACUGGACCCCAAGCAGAUCUAGAUUAUCAGGUGGAAGGAGGGGUACUCAAGUUCAAAGGGAAACUGUAUGUAGGCUCAGCCAAUGACAUCAGGGUCAGGCUCAGCCAAUGACAUCAGGGUCAGGCUGAUCAGGCUCUUGCAUGACUCAGCAAUUGGGGUCACUCAGGACAGAGGGGAUGUCUGCACAGAAUACAGGCUUUGUUCCAUUGGCUUGGGUUAAAAAGGGAUGUUAUCCAAUAUGUCAGAUCCUGUGAUGUUUGCCAGAGGAACAAGCACGAAAAUGUCCCUUAUCCUGGUCUACUGCAGCCUAUUCCAGUGCCUCAACAAGCCUGGUCACACCUUACCAUGGACUUCAUUGAGCAACUACCACUAUCUCAUGGAUUUGAUACCAUACUGGUAGUGGUGGAUCGAUUCACUAAGUUCAGUCACUUUAUCAAACUCACUCAUCCUUAUUCUGCACAGCAGGUGGCUCAGAUUUUUCUGGAUAAUGUAUACAGGCUACAUGGUCUACCAGAAACAAUCAUAUCUGAUAGGGACAGGAUUUUUCUUAGUAACUUCUGGCAGGAAUUAUUUCGUUUAUUGGGAGUGAAUUUGCACUAUAGUUCAGCAUAUCAUCCCCAAUCAGACGGACAAACUGAAAGGGUCAAUCAGUGCUUGGAAAACUACCUCAGAUGUAUGUGCAGUAACCACCCUUCCCACUGGAGCAGCUGGCUACCUACAGCUGAAUUAUGGUACAAUUCUAACUUUCACACCAGCUUGCAGCUAACACCUUUUGAGGCAUUGUAUGGAUAUAAACCUACUCAUAUACCCUUGGGACCCUUCCAUGAUAGCAUCAUACCUGCUGCCAGCAGUAUGGUCCAGUCAAGGCUUCAGGUCAUAUCUCUCAUCAAAGAGAACUUGGCCAAAGCUCAAAAUUGCAUGAAGGUUUUCGCUGACAAACAUCGUUCAGAGAGAGAGUUCCAGGAAGGGGAUUGGGUAUUUCUCAAGUUACAACCUUAUAGGCAACAGUCGGUUGCUAUUCGUAGAAGCUUAAAACUAUCUGCCAAAUAUUUUGGACCCUUCCAGAUUAGUGCAAAGGUGGGAGCAGUAGCCUACAAACUCAAAUUACCCGAGGGGGCCAGGAUUCAUCCAGUAUUUCACGUCUCCUUACUCAAGAAGAAGGUAGGACUUGCACAGAGUGUGGAGUCCAACCUGCCGGAAUUAGAUAUGACAGACCAAUGCCUAUUGAGGCCAGAGAAGGUUCUCUAGAGAAGGGCAAUAAUGAGAGCUGCUAAACCAGUCGUCCAAUACUUGGUAAAAUGGAACAAUUUACCAGAGUCGGAAUCAUCGUGGGAGGAUAGAAGCUUCAUAGAUAGCCAGUUCCCAGACUUCCAAGCUUGAGGACAAGCUUUUUGUUAAGAAGGUGGGACUGUCAGGACCAAAUAAAGUACCACAGGGUCGUUUAGUGUAGCAACCUUUGCGUUUAACCAAUCAGUGAUAAUACGAUGCCAUUCUACUUAAGGAAGGGCGGUGGAUGUAAUGAGCGCUAAAUUCUGUUGGGAUCAAUUGAAUAAAUAGUCCUCUGCAUUUGUAAUACGGUUAUGAGAAUAAAUGCCAGAAUCAUUUUCUCUUUCCUCUCUGUUAGCUCUCUCUCUCUCCCUUUCCCUCCCUCUCAUCUUUUCUGAUUCUUUCUUGUUCUUCUUUUCUUUCCCGUUCUCUAUACUCAGUUCCAAUUCCAGAAAUUGUCUUGCGACCCUGACGUUCUGCUUUACUAAAAGGGUCCCUACCUUUAUAUUAGACUCUAGCUAAUUAGCCACAUCGCGAAAUCAUUGGUCUUGAUCCAAUGAUUAAGGAGAGUCCCUUUAAGAGCUCUCCGGUGCACUAGGUCGGGGAUUAAAAUCCCAUCUAGUGCAUCACACAAUUUCUUGUUCUUAAAAAAUUCAUAGAGUACAACAGUGCACUUAACUAAAUUCACCCUCCAACUUCCAUACAAAUUUUUUUUAGACUAGUCCAAUAAUGUAAGAGUAGGAAUAUGUUAGAUAUUUGUUAUUGCAGGGGGAAAAAAAAAAAACUAGCCACGCAGUAAAGAAAACAGAGAGGAUAGCAGAGAUGAGGGAAGGAGCAAAAAAGGAACGAAAACAAGGCCAACGACAAAUUUCUACAAGCUGGUUACUUAAAUGGGCAACACGCCCAUUUUAGGGGCCGAACCCAUGAAAUCAGGUGUCUGGGCUAACACGUCACGCUCAAAGGCAUGAGCUUUGUAAAAGUGCAACCUCUCAAGCCCAAAUACGACACCACCAAGGGCUAUACACUUCAAGAGACCAUAGGGCGCACUAUCUAAAGUUCACACGCCAAUCGCUAACAAGUCCAAUUGGCUCUCCCUUUCCCAUCGUACAGGAAUAGAAAUAAUGUAAAUUGUUACCGUUAAACAAAAACAAAAAAAAAAAAAGAAAAGAAAAACAGAUAUAGUAAAAUAAUUAGUUGGCGGCCUUCGCUACUUUCAAUAGUAUCUAUCAGAUAUGUAAAACAAUAGUAACUAAAGUAUCGAAAACCAGAUAGCUCAAAUUCCUAGGAGAAAAACUGCUGAGAAAAUUUGUUGUUUAACCCAUAUUGGUUUAGCUCGCAAAACUAGGAAGAUGCUACAUAGGAACAACUCAAACUCAGGAGAAAGGAUAUCAACUAGACUGAAUGAAAAAUUCUCAAACUCCAGAUUUGCGCAACUCAGCUGCUCCAUGUGCAAAAUGACACCUCUCCGCAAAGGUGCAGGAACCUUUCGCAAAAUUCUCACACAGUUUGGUCUUGUAGUUGCUCCCUGGAGGGCAGGGCCUCCAGGAAUCGCAGGUGCCCUUCCUGGGCCACCUACUGGUCCAAGGCUGGCAAUAAGCUCUCUUACCAUUGCACUUGCUUGCUGGAUUUGUUCAAAUGUACCUUCGAGCUCAAUGUUCCUCAGAUUUGGAUUACUCUCGUGCUCUCGAAUAGCUAACUUAACACCUGUCUGACGACAAAUCUGCUUGGAGUUCACCCCACUCUUCCCAAUGAUGGCUCCUGCUAGGGAAGCUUCCACACUAAUUUUGGCUGUCGCUGAAGCACCAAAACUAGCAGCAGGUCCAGGUACAACUGGCUCCAUGCGGCCACCAAAUCGUCCAGGAAUUGCACUCAUUGUGUGAGGUGGUGAUGGCGCAAUAGGCUUGCCAAGCUCCCAAUCACCGUGAGCAAAAUGACACUUAUCACCAAACUUGCAUCCUUCGGCAGUAUUAUAUUUAUUGCAAAUUUUGGUUUUAACUGUUGCUGAAACAGCACCAUUUGGUACAGAUGUCGGCGCUGCUGCACCUCGUGGGCCUGGGGCAGGAGGCAGAUUCAUCAUCUGGGCAACAGCAUUAUAGCCACCAGGUACAUGGUGAAGGAAAUGGCAACUCUCCCCAAAUGGGCAGCCAGCAGUGCUACAAAGAAACACAAUCCAACACUCAGAUCAAACUUUUGCCAAAUCUCACAAGAGUCUAAAUCUGAAAUAUUACCAGAAUAAGUCAGGCAGCAUUUUCCUUGGAAAUAGAUUAUGUUUGAAAAACUAAGAUAUUGUUGAAAGAAAAUUCGAUCUCGUAGUCACCAAGUUGACUUUACAGAGCCAUUUUAUACUUAAACAGGAAUAUAGAUGCUGAAAUGGACACAAUUAAAAGAUGCCAUACAUUUGGUAACCCAGAAAAGUUUAAAAUUGAAAGGGCAGCAAUCCAUAAAGGAAAAAAGACAGAAAGAUGGUAUUCACUUUAUUUACAAUUUGACAUGAAAACCAAGAAUCAUGAUUGACAAACAUAAAAAUAUGUAUAGUUACGUCUUAGUCCUGAGAGUACAGAGGUCAAGAAUUCAAAAGAAGUCUUCCCCUGCCACUCGCCCAAAACCCAUCUCACCAUACAAAGAAUGGGGAUGGUCAUAUGGAAAAGAGGAUUGACAAAGUUUGCCAUUCAGGUUGAUUAAAAUCUGUAAAAUUCCCAAUACAGCAGAGAAACAUGAUUAUACUCAAGGCCUAUGAAUUUCUUUAUUUCUAUUAACGCUGAUGUUUGAAAUGAAGCACUAGAGAAGCCUUCAGAGACUUGUUAAUGGUGCUAAAUGUUUGUUAUUGAUGAGUAAAACAUUCCAGAAUCAAGACCACAGGCUAAACAAUAAAAAAAGCCACUACACAAGAUACACUAAAGGCAUCAUCAUCAAUAUCCAAGUUUUUCUGUUUCACGUGAAGCAUUUUCCAUGACUAGUCGCUGCUCGUCAAGACAAUUAAAUGGCGGACAAGAACCGAGAGUAAUUAAUUAGGCCUCACUUUCAGACAAAAAUUUGAAAUAUUUUACAUCUCUACACAAGUGAAAUGAUUGUUCUGCAAAAAUGUGUCUGCAACAUUCAAUGUUAAUAUCAACUAACAUUCAAUAAGCAGAAAAAACAUCAUAAACCUUUUCCUUUGACCCGAGAUCUGUACCAGGAAAAACCAGUGUAAAUUUUACUACUUACAAAAACAAUGUUCUGAAAAAAGGUCAAAGGGGAAAAUAGAUAGCCCUGUGUACAAUACUUUACAUUUGUUUCGCAGAUUAAUUUAUGGAAAAUAUCUUCCAAUGGUAUAGAUUCUCAAAUGUAAAUUUAACAUCUAUUUGAGCCCUGAUGACCGUAAGACUGUAUAUGAUACGCCUAGGACCACGUGAUUGCCUACAGGGCUGCUAGCCAAUGGUAAGAUCAUAAUGUGCUUGCAAACUCUCUGUGUUAUGUUUGUUAUAGAACCACCACAAACCCAUACAAAUUGGCAACUUUAACCACAUUUAUAUAAUCAAAAGCAGACUUGUUGAAAACAUACUGUUUCAAAGUUAAAGAAUUAAAAUAUAUCCAAAAGAAAUACUCUAGAUGACUCUAAAAGUCGUUCAAUAUAAACAACUGAUGGCCAACCAAACUUUAAUUUAAUCUCAAAAACUUGUAAAACUCAAGCUAGCAGCUAUCAAACAGGAAUAAAAGGAACAUAAUGUAACAUGUUCAAUGACCCCCAAGCUUUUCAGGAUUUUCAGGCCAUGUGUUUGAAAAGAUGUUGCACACACUGAAGCAACAAAUCCUAUAUCAGGCGGGGGCUGCUUUCAACCACAAACAGUAAAUUGUUUGAUAGUCACAUAAAAAAUAGUACUUAAAUAUAAUAGAACUGUAUAAAGAUUAAUACAAUAUUGCAACGGUUGUGUUCAACUUUAUUUACUGAUCAGAGAGCCAACAACAUUGAAAAUAGCACAUAAAUAUUAUAUAAUUGUAUUGUACCUUCACGAUGCAAGAACCAAAAACAUUGAAACCACUGCUGCUAUUAUGAUCUCCAUUAGGAAGGAUUAUUAGGCCUAGGAAAUAUUCUAGAUAAUAUUAUUUUGCUCGCAUAAGCACUGGUUUUUAUUGUACUUCACCCAAAAACUUUUAUAUAGCGCUGAUUUCAUCUGCCACCUAAUUGCCCACAAAAAUGUUCAACAUCAGCAGGCAAAUGAUUCACCUCACCGUUAAUUGCUAAUACAGCAUCUUCUCCUCUGAAAUUUGAUUGACAGUUUACAAAGAGCCAAAGAGAAUACCAAUACCAAGAUCAAUAAGCCAAUACAUUUUGUACAAAAUUCACCACUCUGCCAGCACAUCUAAUAGUUUUUAAUACUUGCAAUAUCAAGAGUAGGUAUUAAAUUUAUGGCUAUUAACUGUUGACAGAAAAUUUACAAGUUGAAAGUAUUUAUAUUGGGCAAGUAAAGAUUUGAACCUGAAAAACUUCGUGCAAGGCUUCGAUUUGCUUCCUAUACCACUUGAUAAGGAGUCCAUUUCUGUUGCAAACAUUAAUUACUUUUUUCCAGUUAGAAUUUAAUCGAUUCUUGAAAUUGAUUAUGUAUCAUCUAACAAAUAUGAUAUCAGCUUGUUACCAACAAAAAGAAAAGUACAACUAUUACGACCUUCUUACCGGCAACAGAUUGUUAUAAGCUUCUGACCAGCAAAAAUAGUACUCGUAGAGCUAAAAAAAUUUUAUAUACUAUUGCGAGUUCAAGCUAUGUGCAAGCAAAGCUUUUGUACUCUUCAUUUUCAAUAGAUUACACCUACAUUUUUCUUAGUAACGGACUGUUGACAUAUUUGCUAAAAACAACAAGGAUCACUAUUAAAAUCCACCAACUAAAAAGGAAAGACAACAAACUCCUGACAACAGAAAUGUACAACAAUAAAAGUGCUCAGACACAGAUGUGCACAACAGGUCAAUUCUCCAGUCUUUAAAGAUAUAUCCAUAUUUUAACCAAAAGUUCCAACGUGACAAAUUUUACAGUCUCCAUUUUCUUCCCAUUUUACCAAAAAGGACCGUUCUUAUCUUCUGAAACCCAGUGCAGGACAAGUAAUAAGCAAGACACACCAAGGAUCCAACAGGUAAUUUACUCUUGCUUCACAGGACACACACAACACAAGUAUAAUACACCAAAAAAAAAAAAAAAAACACACACACACACACACACACUGGUACAAAAAAAAUUUGUAUAAUUGACAAAAAGGCAAAAAAGAAGAAAGCAACUCGUACUUUGGAGUCUGGAACGAGAAGUUGAGAUCUCGGGGGCAAGAGUAAGGGCAGCCUAUCAUUUUUCUUAAAGGCUUGAGAGCAAAGUGUAAAUUUUACAACGAUAUGAGUGAAAAUUUUAAAGAUUUUAGGAUAUAAAGCAACUUUAAGUGUCCUAAAUCAGGCACAUCUUCAUGAAUCAGCACAAUUCUAACAUAUAUAAGAGCCAAAACCAAAACAAAAACAAACUGAAAAUCCAAUAAAUCAUGAAUGCAAUAUCAACCAAGAAAGCAAUUUUAGUCAUUAAAAGUUAAAAAAAAAAAAAAAGAAGCAAACAGCCAGAUACAAUUCAUAUAAAAGAAAAACAGCAUAAAAGUAAAAAUUGUAGAGAAAUUCAACCUGGCUUAGAUUUCUUGAAGCCGCCAUUGGCGUUGAGAUUGGAGUCUGUCCUGUUUCUCUUCCGAAUAUCCAUAGCUCCCCAAACUCAGAUCCAGAGAGUGUUAAAUCAGCAAAGACAGCAACGAACCUUCAAGUAACUAAAACUCUAACAAAACUCCUAAAAAAAACAAAACAGGAAGAAAAUUGAAGUAAAUCUCCUAAGCUAAGAAGGCAGAGCAGGUAGAAAAAAAAAAAGAAAAAGAAUAAUUGCAAAACCCUAACCCUAACUGUCCAUGGGUUUUUGCAGAGGCUCUACAGGGGAGGGAGAGAGCGCGAGAGAGAGAGAGGAUUUGAGGCGGGGAAAGAAAGAGGGCUGCCUCCUCGGAGAAGUAGUACGCAAAGCAAAAGAAAUAAACGAUUUCCAGAAGAUGAGAUAUUUAAACACUAGUACCAGUAGUCCUUCUCUUAUACAGUAAUUAUUAUUAGGAAAAGACGCUAGUACUGCUGUACUAGUGGCGCUGCUCUCAUGUACCAUGGAUUGGUUAUUAUUAGGAAAUUAAGUGAGUUAACAAUCAUCACGUCUACUUAAAUGCACUUGAUAUUAAGUGAGUAAACGCUGGUACUAGGAGCCGAGUGAGUUUGUUUGGAUAGAGUAUUAUUUGAAAUAGGAAAAAUUUUUUAAAAUAUUUUUCAUAUUUUGUAAAAUAAUUUUUUUAGUCUCUCAUUUUUAAAAGUAUAUUUUUACCUCUCUUAUAAAUUCAUAUUGGUCAAAUUUGAUCCUUAUCUAGAUUUUUGACUAGUUUUUUAUCGGAAUCCAUUGCACGUGAUCAUUUUUUAAGGAUAAAAUUAUCAAGUUAAAGUUUACAUAAUCCGAUCCAUAGUCCCUCAUGUUUCACAAAAUGAAUUAUUUUGUCCCUCGCAUUUCACAAAAUGAAUUUAUUUAUCUUUCAUAUUUUACAAAAUAAAUUUUUUCAUCCCCCAUUGAUCAUGCGUACAAAUAACUUUUUUUAAAAUUCAUAUAUAUAUAUCAAUUUAAUUUUACUUGAAUAACAUGUAAUAUAUCUUUAUUUGAUUUCGCCUAAACGUACUGUUUAAGUGAAAUUAAAUAUAUAUAUAUAUACCAAGGUUUAAAAAUUUAUUAGUUUUUCACUCAUGUUCAUUGUCUUUUACUCGAAAAUUGAAAAUAAAUAAGACAUUUAAUUCUAAACAUUAUCAAGUAUUUAUAUCAAAUUAAAUUUGGACAGAAAAAAUAAACAAAGGAAAAGUAUAACAAAAAAAGUAAGUGAUUAACACUUUCAAAUUUUAAGACAAAUCAUAAGGUGAGAAAUUCAACUGUUGGUCUUAAAGGUGAUUGAAAAAUGUGUCGAUGAUGCAAGCAAGUUAGUGUGUGUAGAUGAGAUGGAAAUAACGUGUAAUCCAAACACAACCUUAAAGAUGCUUGUUGUUUUCCUUUUCCAUCAAUUUUAAAUUAUAGUUCACUUUCUAAUUGAAGGAUAUAAUUAACUUUUAUUAUUAGGAAAUUAAGUGAAUUGACAAUCAUUAUGACCUACUAAAUGCACUACUCCCUUAAUUUCAUUUUGAUGGCCUUGUUUUAUUUUGGACACUUCAGUAAUUUUUUGGUUUGAAGGGUAAUUUUUUACUUUUUGUUAUUAUUUGGUUUGAUUAGGAUAAACAAAUGUUAGUAAACUAACAAGAAGUGGUAAUUUGUUAUAUUUAUUCAUAGUCAAAGGAAAGCGAUUGUUAUUUUUUGAACUUUAGGGGGUCUUCUUGUAGUUUGAUCAAAGCAAGAGAGAGAUAGAUGUAAUUAACCGUUUUUAAAAUACUAAAAUAGGAUGGAUAUAUGACUAGGCAAAGUGUUUAAAUUUUCGACACUCUCCACUAGUACUGAUUUACCGGAUUACGCAAAAGUAUCUAAUCAUUAUUCUAUGUAUGUUUAGUUUUAAAAAAGACACUUAUAUGUGUCAAAUGGGUGUGACAAGUUCUAAGUUUAUAGCUAUUUUAAACCAAAAAAAAAAAAAGUAUGACAUUUGAUAUAUGUUUAAUUAACUUUUACAUAAACUGAAGUAGUGUGUUCAAAUAUGAUAUUGGUAACGUGCUAUCCUUAACCAAAUGAUCCUUGAGCUGCUGUUAAACCAAGCUCAAAUUACUUGGUUAGCUUAACUAUCCAGCGUAUUUACAUUCAUCAAACAAAACUUUAAAUCCAAAUUUAUAGGCAAGAAAUGAAAAAGGUGAGCUUAAAAUUCGUGUAGUUCUUUAAGUUGUUGACCAGAAACUCCAAGCAACUCUACCGUACAUCUAACUUAGUGGCUCAAUUGGACUGUCUUCAAAAUUGUAAACUAGUCCGCUUAUACGGUUGGUUUUCGGCUUUGUCGUUCAUUCGCAUUUGCUGAGUGCAAGAAAAUGUAGCUAACCUACAUGAGACUGUUGUUGAUGCUGCGUUCAGGGCCUACUAGCUUGGAAGAUUCGGGCUCUUAAUUUCGUUGUAUCUUUGACCCUUUGUUUUUUUUUUUCAAUUAUUUUACAGGGAUUAAAAUCCAUUUGGAUUCAAACAGAUAAAUAAUCCCGGGAUUACAAUUUACUAGGAGAAACACCUCUCGAGAGUCUAUCAAAUGAUCCAAUAUGUAAGUGAAGAACUCAAUUCUGACUCGAAAACUUAGCCCAUUAGGUUUUAGAUCCUUACUUACAUAUUAAUUACUCUUUUUGCAUCUCUCAAACUAACGUGCUACAUAAUUUUUUACUCAUGAAUUUAAUAACCUCGUUUUUUAUGAGAGAUCCUCACAUUGAAACCCAAGUUAAUAAGAGCUCUUUUUUUAAUCUACUUUAAUAUUCAAUGCAAACCCACCUUAACAUCUAAGACCACAUAUUCUAUUGAUUAUAAACCUACUCUUCUUCAACAUUUAAACUUCUAAUUAUGGACCCACUCUUUUUCAAUAUCUAAACUAGAUUUUUGACCCUAUCAACCCUUGGUUGGUCUAAUACUGAUCGGAUUCCAUGUUAAAUUCAUGACACAUCUAACCUAACACAAGCCAAACUCCUUAACAUUUUAGUCAAGCACUUGGCUCUUUGGCCUAUCAUCAACCGAAUUUUCUAUCAAAUCUACGGUGCACCUAGUGUAACACCAGUCAAACUCCUUGACAUUUCAAUCCAUCACUAAGAAGAGAAUUUUAUAGGUCCAACUUUGAUAAUCAUCCACUUAUCACCGAGUAUCUUAGCCUCGCAAGCACAAGUUCUGAUACCACUUGUUAGGAAGAAAACACCUUUGAGAGAGUUUACAAAAGAGUUCAAUAUAUGUAAGUUAGGAAUCUAAUAUUAACCAAAAAGUUUAAACUGUUAAGUUUUGGACCAUAUUUAUAUAUUAAUCUUUCAUUUUUCAUCUUGCAAAAUCCAUCAUUAUUUAUAUAUUAAUCACUCUUUCUCCAUCUUCGAACUAAUAUAGGACGUAAUUCUUUACUCAUAAAUCUAACACAACUCUUCAUGUAAAAUGGAGAAGCAAAAAAUCUAGGCAUGUAGCCGAAUCGAACAGGUCGAAUGCGAGUUACUGAGUGCUACUCAAAGACUUCCAAGUACUGAAUGACAAUAUAGAGAGAGUUAGGAUCUAGUUAUUCCAGAAUAGUUCUAAUGCUUAAAUUAGUACAAAUCAUUCGUAACCUAGAGUGAGAGUGUGUGGAGUUGUUGAUUACAUUGAAUGAGUGAAGUGUGGACUGGAGGUAUCCAUAGAUUUUAGAGAAGGAAAUAGUGACUAGCACCCUUCGAUGAUUGUAACAGCGCUGUGAGAGUGCAAUUAGCGCCUUGCGGACACCGCAUAAAACAUUGCUAUCGCUAUAUUAGAAGAAGCAUCACUUCUUCACAUAAAUUAUUGACUUUAGAUUCUUCCAUGAAUUGCAAGACUUGUGAAUAAGUUCGUAAGGAGGAUCCUAAUAUUUUUUGUUCUUCACAAUGACAAGUUAUAUCACGUGCAAAGUAAGUGUGUGAUUAAUAAAAGAAAGAAAAGAAAAUGAAAAAUAAGAGAGAGGGGGAAAAACUCGUAAUCCGACUCGUUCCGUAGUCUGAUUUUUACCAGUAAAUCUAUAAUUGAUCCCCGUAUACUACUUCGUUGCGUAUCAUUGGAGCAAGGUUCUACAUGACUCUGUGAUCAAAUCCUGUAACUAUUUCAUUGUGUAUCACUGGGGCAAGACUCUAUAUGGUUUUAAGAUAUAAGUCUGGUCGAAAGGUUGGAAUACUGUUAUGUGGAAAAAAAAAAGAAAAGAAAAGAAAAGAAAAGAGAGGGGGCAAAAAAAGGGACGAAACAGUCAAUUCAUAACAGCGCAGCCAGAACUCUCAGUCUCCUUUUCGGCACUUUCAAAGCUUCGCCAAAACAACGGUUAAACCAACCUCAGCUCAGCAGCCUCAUUAGUCAUUGCUACAAUUUACGCACUACACUGCCAUUGCCAAACUUCGAUUUCAUCGAAAGCCCCAGCAAUAAAUACGGCGCUGCCCCAUUCACGUUUCUUUGGCACUCUCCUUCUCACAAUCACUCACGCUUUCUUCGUUUUUAUCGUCUGCCUCCUUCCUCAAGGUGAGUUUCUCUCUGAUCCCUUCUUCCACAAUGCUGCGUUCACGUAAUGUUGAUCCGAAUGGGGUUUCCUUUAGGCUUUUUCCUGAAAAGGGUUGUUUUUGGAUAGAUUUUUUUUAUGGUUCUUGCUAAGAUCUUUCAAGGGAUUAUGUAAUUGCGUGCUGAUUUCAGGUUCAUUUAUUGGUUUUUUCUUUUUUUUUUCCCUUUUUUGUAUAUUUGUGCUUGAUUUAAUGCUCACAUUGUCUUGCUGGUUCCAUAAAAGAUAAUUUCUUGAUUUGAAGAUUUUUUAGUAUUUCUGUUUCCGAGAUUUGGUCUCGCAGGGUGAUAUGUCAUAUGAACUUGGGAGCUAGAAUCGUGAAGAAAUGAGGUGUUGGAAUGAUUUAUUUUUGCUUUUCCAGAGGAUAUUUUUUUUCCUCUUUUCUCUUUGCGGAGAAAAAGAAAACUUUGGUUGGGAGUGUUUGAAUAUUUGAGUCAUAGGUUUGUUUGACCGACCUUUUUAUGUGCAAGGAGGGAUUAGUAAAGGUCAGAAUUGAACAUGAAAAUUCACUUGCAAGUUGAAGAUAGUGGAACUUUGGUAGUAAUUGAAAUUUAAUUGUAUCUUUGACACUUUUCCCUUCUUUUUUUUUUUGGACUAAGAAUUUGUCUAGAGAACUUAAGUGAUUCUGUUCUGAAAUAAGAUAGUUCGUAUUAAAGGUUGUUCCUUUCGUCAUCUGCUGGAUUAAGAUUUGAAAGCAGAAAUGACAAAUGUGAAACAGAGUAAAAGUGUGAGACAAGGGUGAUUUAUGUAAUGCCUAGGAAAAGAUGGAUAGACUCAGAGCACCAUGCUCGACUAUAGACUCAUAGAACUGUGCUCGACUAGAGUAACUGCAUUUUCUUUGCCUUCAGGCAUUUUUUUUUUUGGGGGGGGGGGGUGUAUUUGAUUGCUCCCUCUCUAUGCUGUCUAAGACAUGAAUUUUCAAAAGAAAAGAUGCUUUGUUUGUUCAUAACUAGAACUGGAUAAUCUACAUGUACACUUUGGUGGCUGAAGGAAACUUCUAGUUUUCUGAUUUUAGUGUCUCUUGCAGAAUCUCGAGUUUGGUAAAUCAGUCUAAGGGGAAUGGCUGCAAAUACAACUGCUGGCUCUCAAAUUGCAGUUCCAAAGCCCUGCAUUUCUGCAUCUCAAAGAAUUUUGAAGUCAAGCAUUGCAAAUUUUGGUAAUGAAACUAAAGGUGAGUCUUGGACAAAGCUCAAGUGCACAUCUCACAUCUCAUCAACAUGGUCUUUCUACCAAAAGCUUAAUUCCAGUCCCUGAAAUAUCAGAGAGUUGUUACAAAAGCAAUGUCUGCAACAAGUGAUAAAGAGCCUCUACCAGGGUGUCAAUUGACUUGAGAGGUUGGACAUUUACAUGUUUCUCUAUCAUCAGCUUCCUUUUUUUUGGUAAAAGUAAAACCUAAUUUUAUCUGUGAAGCUUUCCUGUGUAGGUAAUUAUGGCCACAUGCAAGUAUUAGUCUGCAAUAUUCACAUUGCAUUUCUUAUUUUCUGUGUAGUUUACUUUCCUACCCAUGUUCAGGUGCUUGUUCAUCUGACUAACUAGUGCUGCUGCAUAGUUGACAUCAUUAUGUUUUCUGAAAUGGAAAUUUCCUGACAAAGUUUAGUCUUAGAAUUAGCUAUGUGUCAUGGUUUAUAUUUAUUUAUGAUCUGAGUAUGCCGCCACCCAAGGCUUGUAAAUCAGCAGAUGCUUACCUUCUAUCAGAGAGAUUGCAUAUUUCCAGCUCAAAAUGUUAAUCUUCGUGUUAAAAUUAUAGGGACCUACAGGUGGGAUGUGAAGUAGAUACAAAUGCAAAUGUCAGGAACAUUAAAUAGGUUAUUAGGUUGCUUCAUGAUAAUAAUAGUCUUUGAAGGUAGUUUUCAAUUAACAAAAAAUAAAAAACUAUAUUUUCGGUUGAAGAUUCCAGUAAAAUCUGGAAAACUGCAUUGCAAGCAUUGACCUGCGACAUAUUUUCCUGAGGUUUGGAUUGUACAAUUAAAGCCUGUCUAAGGUAUCAGGAAAUGGUGACAUGGCAUCUUCAAGCAACAGAGAUGCGUGUUACAAGUUGUAAUUUGUCCCUAAAUAGCCAUACAUUAUCAGGGACCAUCACACAUAUAAACACCAUUACCUGCAGGAAAGAGAGCAUUCAUAGCUGGUGUAGCUGAUGACAAUGGAUAUGGAUGGGCAAUAGCAAAAUCUCUUGCAGCUGCUGGUGCUGAAAUCCUCGUCGGAACAUGGGUGCCUGUACGUAUUAUUUGUCUUUGUUGUUAAUUAAUGAUUGCAAGAGUCUUCAGGUUUUAAAAAUUCUUUCUUUCUCUGGCAUUUCUAGGCACUGAAUAUUUUUGAGACAAGUUUGCGUCGUGGGAAAUUUGACGAAUCUCGUGUGUAAGCAUUGCAGAUUUUAUACUUUCCAGUUUGUCUAUUUAAUUCCCUUCUAACUAUGAUUCUUCUUUUCAGGCUGCCAGAUGGUUCUCUGAUGGAAAUCACGAAAGUUUACCCACUUGAUGCUGUUUAUGAUAGUCCUGAGGAUGUCCCUGAAGAUGUAAGCACAUCUUUUCUAGUAAAAUGUCUUUCAGCACAGACUCUGCAAUUGAAGUAAACUCAUAGGUGAAACUUAUGUUGGAUUAUGCAGGUAAAAUCAAACAAACGCUAUGCUGGCUGUACAAACUGGACAGUCAAGGUAUGAACUUCAAAUCUUCUAAAAACUUGCUCAUGCUUGUGGUUAUUUGUUCAUUUCUAAUUACUUCAUGCUCUUAGAUAGUUCUGGAUAAUUGCAAUCUAAAACUUUUCCUAAAUUAAAUCUAAUGAGAGGUCAAAGGAAAACCAAUUGGUUUAUUCAUAGGAAAGGGAAAAUCAAUUGGCGAGUCUUAGGACCCAAGACCACCAGCACAUGAUCGUCCACUUUGAAUGUAAGUGCAAUAUGUAAAUUAUGAUCAGAGACCUCCAGGACAACAAAAUCAUGUAUUCUUGUGACUCUUCCAUGAGGCAUGAUAGACAUUCUUUAGCUUUCCGAAUUGUGUGCUAUCAAGCAGUAACAUUCUGUUGAUGAUGAAUUCAUAUUGAAUAAUGUUAUUACUGAACCUGCUAGAUUUGAAAUGGUUCAAGUUGUCAAAAUAGUAUCAAACUAAGUUGCUAACUGAACCUCAUCAUGGUAAAGUGUAUGGUAGGUUGUUAGAAACUUAAUCCUUUAUUCAUUCACUUGAUCAAUAGGUUCUCAAGAUCUGUGUUCAUUUACCUUAGAGAUAUUGUUACUUCCUAUCUAAUUUUUUGGGCAAAGCAAGACUCAAGGUCCCUGUUAUAGUACCAAGUGCAUUAUGACCAAUUGUGCUUGAUGACUCAACAUGGUUAUCCUGUAAACUGUAUGCUGGAGGGCAGCAUGCUGAACGAGCUUACUCUAAAUUAUCUUGUAGGAAGUUGCUGAGUGUGUGAAACAUGACUUUGGAACGAUAGACAUCCUUGUACAUUCACUUGCUAAUGGUCCGAGGUGCUUUUUCGUCUCUUAUUCUCAUUUUUGCUUAGCAAUUGCUGGUGUUUCAGCCUUCCAGGAUGUGAUUUCAUUGAACUCAUAACACAGGUUAGCAAGCCCCUCCUGGAGACAUCAAGAAAUGGGUAUCUUGCUGCCAUAUCGGCAUCAAGUUAUUCCUUUGUAUCUUUACUUAAGCAUUUUGUGCCCAUAAUGAAUCCAGGUAUUCUUUCCCUCACCUCUCUUUUGUUUUCUGCAUUUCAGUGAGACAAAAGUUUCUGUUUUCAUAUGCUGCACUGGCAAGCUGUGUUUUAUGCUAAACGUAUGGUCCUAUCUUCAAAUUGCAGGUGGUGCUACAAUUUCUCUAACAUACAUUGCUUCUGAACGCAUAAUACCAGGGUAUGGAGGUGGUGCAUUAGGUUAUUCUAAGUUGUACCUCUAUCUCUUCUGAAAGCAUAAUAUUGAUUUUUCUUAAACUUAGGUAUGGAGGAGGUAUGAGUUCAGCCAAGGCUGCUCUGGAAAGUGAUACAAGGGUGAGCUUUCUGAUGUACAUGACGAUGCUUAAGGGAUAAUGUUUAGUUUAGGUUUACCACUUCUGACUUCAAAUUCUUGAUAAAGGUGCUGGCUUUUGAAGCUGGUAGAAAACACAGAGUCAGAGUCAACACAAUAUCUGCAGGUAUUGGCAACUACUACAUGUUAAUGUCUUAUACUAAGAUUAAUGGCAUGAUUGGUACCAUUUUAGGAUCCAAAGUUGCACGGCUGUGCUAGAUGUUAAACUUUAUUUCUUGCUGAUAACAAAUAAUUGUGGUAACUCUUUUCUGGUUACACUUGAGUCUUUUUGUCCAUGUGGGUUGAAAAACGAAUUAAAUGAAAGGAGAAUACAGUUUUGUGGGACAUAACUGAAGCUAUCAACUACCUAAUAGACAUGCCUCCUUCCCCUUGGAAAUAACAAUAUUCUGUAGUGUCAGAUGUGCCUUUACAAGAAAGCAAGACAGUACCUGCUCUGGCUGGAUCAUUUUGCUUUUGACUUUAAACUCUCUGUGUUCUAAUGGGUUUAUGUGGAUGCAUAAUGUGCCAUGUGCAAUUCUGUCUUAUCUGCCUUGUGUCCCUUCUAUUUUCUCCUUAUCCAUGAACAGGCAAUGUUUUAGGGCUGAGCAUGCGUUAUAUGUCAUUUUCCUUCUCUAAUGACUAAUUCAUUCAGCAGAUACUGAUUGAACAAAAUUAUAUUCUCUAAACAAUAUUUGAAACCAGAAAAAUCAAGUAUAACAUCCCGCUGACGUCUAACCUGUAUUGAAACAAUAUGCAGGUCCACUAAGAAGUCGCGCUGCUAAAGCCAUUGGUUUCAUCGAUAUGAUGAUUGAUUAUUCAUUGGAAAAUGCACCCUUGCAAAAGGAAUUAUCUGCUGGUGAGUGAUCCUUUUUCUUUUUUUUUUUUUUUGGAGAAUUUUGGCUGCACUCUGUCCAUAUAUGAUCUUUGGAAGUACUUGAAAGAAAUUUUUGUUGUGCUUUAGAUCAUGAGUAUUUACAGUUCUCACAUAGACGACCAAGGCUGUGUUGUCAUUGGUGCUAUCUGACGUGUCAGUUUCUGGGUCAAGCUCCUAAAGGACAUCCUUGCCCAUGGGCGAGUGCACACACACACAUGCACAAUAAAUGCUUGUAUAUUUCUCGUUUUUGGACAUAUGAUGCAAUCAUGCAGUGUAUUGCCUUAUUGAGUCAUCUGGUGGUGCUUGUCACUUCUGAGUCCUAAUGGUUGGAAUUUGACAUUGAACAGAGGAGGUUGGCAAUGCUGCUGCUUUUCUUGCAUCACCAUUGGCUUCAGCUGUCACUGGUGCUGUAAUUUAUGUUGACAACGGCCUAAAUGCAAUGGGUGUAGGAGUUGAUAGUCCAGUUUUUAAAGAUCUUGACAUCCCAAAAGACAAUAAUAAAAGCUAGAUGAUUUGCUUGCUUUGGCGACUAGUGUCCGGUGAUCAAAUUGAGAAUAAUGGUUCUUUAGUCAAUUGCUAUCAGGAAGACGCCUGCUGGGCUUUCCAUUUUGAUGCGAGGAAAGUGUACUUCGUUUUCAUAGAAACGGGUUUAGCAUUGGAAUUGUGAUGUAUGGCAAUCUUAUAACUUCUUGUGGAGCCUUGUUAUUUCCAACUUGUUUGAAGGUUCUGAAUUGCACUGUUACAACUGCAUCCGUAUCUGCAUGCACAAGAGAUUUGAUACCAGAAAUUAUCAGAUCCAGGCCUAGCUUCGGUCUUGAUAGAUUAAAAGCUGGCUUAAUAUUAAGUAUUGCUAUUCUCCAAUAUUAAGAAAUACAAUCAUUUCAAUUCGACACCUCUCGUCUAAGGCAUCCCAAUGCGCAGCCAAACAUUACCCCAAACACAUAGGUAAUUUCACUGAUCAUCCCAUCACCUCCCACUUCUUCAUUUCUUCCAUAUGCGGAGGUCAGACUCCCUAAAAGUGACAAACUACAAUAUCAUCUCAUGAGCUUGACAUGCAAGGCCAGUACCAGCAACAAAAUCUUGACGCAUACAUGCUUGCCAGCCUUAACCUGAAGAAACUCUAUGCACACAUGAAUACCGCAGAUGUGCAUGUUGGCAUGGGAAUCUUGCUUCAAACUAGUAGUCAAAGGUUUCAUUGCCAACCAAACCAUCCUAUGGGACCCUUGGUCCAGUAGUGAGAAAAGGCAUAAAGGCUACUUGAAAUACUUGCAUGAGAAACCACCUAGCCUUCACAAUUCACAGUUUAGUACCCUAAGGAAUUAGAAUAUAAACUUAUUCUAGCAGGGUUUCGUUCAAAAGUAGAAAGGCAGAAGACGACUAGACAUCAUCGUAUUUACCCAAGGAAAUAAACGAUACACAGCAAAUAUGUACAAAGCAGGGUAAGGAUGACAGAACCAGACAACAAUCUAGUGCAUCCAAACUCCAUAUGCUUCAAUUAGAAAGCUGCCAGCCUAGGUAAAGGGUCUGAACCCAAACUUCCAAAAUUAGCAAAAGAACUGAUAAAUCAACAAUAGAUGCCUCUCACUUUACAUCUUACUACAAAACAAAACCGAAGUUAGUAAGAUGUCUGGUCACUUAAACAAGCUUCCUUUUUCCUUUACGAAUUGCAGCAACCCUUGCUCCUGAAUCAUCACUUUCAGGAGAUCCUUGGACAACUGUCUGUUCCUGUAAAACCAAACCCCGAUUUCUAGAAAAUUUCCUAAUUGGUGUUGUAGAUAAUGCUGCUUGUGUCCCAAGAGAUACUGGAUCCGACUCAGAAUUUCCUGCUACAGCCACAUCCCUAUGUGGCAUUAACACUUCCCCAUCUCCAACACAAGUCAUCAUUAACUGCAAAUUCAGACAACAUGGAACAAGAUGUUCAAUACCAAAAAAUGAAGCCGAGUAACUGAGACAUCAAGUUAUUAUAAAUACUGCAUGAUUUAAUUUGGAGCAAAUUUAAAGCAAAGAAAGACAACUGUGACUCCAUGACUUGCUAGUACAACACCGCCGGAAAUCACUGAAUGGAUUCAAGUAGGAAAUGGCAGCAGUAACCUAAAGUGCUUAUGUCAUCUAAGACAUUGAAUACAGUUAUCCUCCCCUAUAGAGGGAAAAAAUGGUUGCUGUAUCUUAAAAUUCAAUAUUUAAGACAAUUUCAUAGUUCUAAAAAUUGUUAGUGCUGAACAAGACAGUAAAAGACACAAUACAGUUUCCACUCAUUUGGUACUAAUCAUGAAGUAAUCAACAUGCAUAAAGGAAAGCUUAUAACAGAUUCAAUAGGAGAGAAAGCCACGCCAAAAGUAACAUUUCAUAUUCAGAUACCUUCCAAUCCUUAAAAUCAAAUCUGAACACAAAAUGGCUGUAAGAAACCUCCCAGAAUGAACUGCACUAGCAGCAGCAGCAUUCCUUGGUGCUGGAAAGAAUGAGAUCAGAAAUUAGAAAAAGACAAAAAGCACCCCAAAAAAAAUGAUACACAUGUCAUUGUUUAAAGUUGAGAAUCUUACAAACUAGAUGAACUCCUUUCUCAUCCACUGUUAUUUCAGCUCGCCCAUCUUUAACCAGAAAUGACAAAGCAAAUAAAUUUUCAACUGUCUGUGCAAAUGAGCUUUUGUUCAAUAUCAAAUUCUCAAGCCUGACCCUCCUAUUCCUCCUCAAAAUGUCAAACAUUGUUGCCAUAUUCUUGUCUGUGUCUGUUUUCUCUUCAGUAGCAGCACCAUCAAGCUACACAGUGUAUUAGUAUGUUCACUAAAGGGCAUUAUAAACCUACAUUGCCACUUGUAAACUGUAUUGAUGGCAUAGAGUAAAUCAAACCAUAUAAUCAUUCUUCUCCACAAGACCGAGUAUUGGGGAAAUUAUAGAUAAAUGACAGGAAAAUACAUUGUAAAAAUCCAAUUACCAACAAAUUACAGUAGGUUUUGAUUAAAGUUGCUAUUCUUUUUGCUGCUUUCAUAUAACUUGAAUGAGAUCUAGUUAGUGCCACAAUAGAAGCCACUUUCAAAAAUGAGUUUGCAGAAAACUAGCACAAGUAUCUAAAUCUAAUCCAAGGAACCUUACAUCUUCAGGUCGUGCACUUUCUGUAGGCUUUGCACGCUUUCUGUAGAUAACAGCCUUACGUUGCUUAAUUUCAGUAUUCAUAGGCCCAACCCUGUGAAAAUCAUUCAAAAAACACAACUGCAAGUAGUUAAUCCCAACAUAAGAACCAACAUUACAUGUAAAUGAAAGAGAGGGGAUGACGAAGAUACAUACAUAGUGAAGCAACCAGGAGCACUCCUGAAAACAUGAGAGACUGCAAGCCCAAUUUCCUUCAAGCGCAGAGAGCUGCUAGCUACCUCAUUACUAGUACUUGCUCCACCUUGUGUAAAAUCCCUAAGCAGACAACUGACAAAAUCAGAAGGGGUCAGUCCUUCAGUGCUAUGUGCCUUAACAGAGGUAACCAAAGUGUUGGUGAUAUCCAAGAGAGCCUCUGCAUCUGCUACUUGUUCCCUGGGUUUCUGAACUGUAUAGUAAUGGAAGAAAUCAAUUUAGUUUGAGCCAAAGUGUCAACUUAAAAUCAAAAUGAGAUGAAGUGCAUGAAGAAACAUCUGAUUAACACAACAAAGGGUCACGAGAGGAAUAAAGAAGAUUGGACAUGUGGAGAUGAAGAAAAAGAGGUGAAGAAAGCAUUACAAUGUCAAGCAGAAAGCAAGACAAGAAAAAAAUACAAAUGCUGGGAGAGGCUAUGCCACUGGAACAGAUAAGGCAGGGAAGGAAGUGAUCAAGAAUUUAAGGAAGGAAGAACCAGGAAUAGGAAAGAAAACUACACAGAAGGACAGAAAUCCCAGUUCGGUGUCAGUGUUCCAUGUACAAUGUCCAACUGGAGGGGAUAUUUUGCUGACGAAGUACCCAGUUAUAAAUUAAGACCAAACAGAAAGGAAAAGUAUUUAUUUUCAAGGUUAAAGCAGCAACCUUACCAUUAAAGCACGUAUCCUUGAGCAAAAUGGCAAGUGAAAAUAUGCACGCACAACAAACUUGAGGAAAAAGCAAACAAGAAAAGAUUUCAAAUCAUACCUAGCUGAUGUAAGUUGUCAACCUCUUCAAUAAUUGAUUUAAACUUAUCAGAAUCAACCUUGGACAAAUCGUCUCGCUCAUCUGCGGAACACCAAGAACAAUGAAAAUCAAAAUACUACUAAAAAAAAUUCUGCAACUGACUUCUACUUCUAACACACAUCACAACGCACCCCAAAAUUUUUUUUUUUUGCUUACUACAGAAAUGCACAUAAGACUCCCUACAAACACACACAAAACGAAAAUCUUAAGCUGUACAAACAAACAUACAAAAAACCCAGUCAAAAACAAAACUGUGAAAAUGCAGUGUACCAGAAAUUCGAUUCUUGACAUUGAGAUAACGAGAUCGAAGGACUCUCCGUUCCACUACAUCUCCUCCUCCUACUCCGCCUUCUCCUUCGACGCUAUCAUCAUUAUCAGCCCUAGAAUUCUGAUGAUUAUUGUUACCAUUACUUGCAUUCCCCUGUGCUUCAUUCUGACAAUUACUGUUAGCAUUCCUCGUAUUCGCCUGUGCUUCAGCUUCUGCUUGUUGUCGCGUUACAAUCUGAUUCUGGCUGUCUUCUUCUCCUUCUCUGGAACUUGUUCUUCUACUACUACUCCUCCGCGAACUAAUGGGCUCACGUUUUACACCCCGCAUCAUUUCCUAUUCUCUUUUUCUUCCUUUCUCAAGAACAGAAAACUAAGACCCAAUGACUCUCCAAUUUCAUUAUAAAUUCAUAGGAAAACAAAAAAAAAAAGGAAGAAAAUGACAGAAAAGGCCUAAAACCCUAAACCCGGCAUGGAAAUGAUUCUUCUUAGACAGGGUUUUUGGAAGCAAAAAUAAAAAAUAAAAAAUUUAGGGAGUCGGAGAAUGGAAAGUAAAUAACAGCGGAGGAGGAGUACAAGAAAUUACUGUGGAUUGGGGAGUUUUGAGAUAUGGGUGGAGGGAGGAGGGGUGAAAAAGCAAAUUGAAUUGAAGAGGGAAGAUUUGGAGGAGGAGACACAAAAUUCAAACCGCAAAUAUUUUGGAUUUGAGAAUUUGGGGAGCGGGCAGUUCAAUGAGAGGAAAGUGGAGGGGGGCGUGGGAUUGGGUGUGGGAAGGUGUAGUGAGUUAAAAAUGGUUGAAAUGGAAGCUUACUAGAUGUGCUUCGAUUUUUUUUUUUUUUUUUUUUUGCCGUUUCCAAUUUCGAGCUUGGCGGGGAAGAUACUAGUUAGUGACUAGUGAGUUUAUAUAUCGUCACUAUGAAUUUUUAUUCGCAAUUUAAGUGCCAACUCAUAACUACCUUUUAUUUUAAUUAUUUUUUAAAAAUAUGUUGUAUCGAUUGAUUUUAAUAUUUGCCUCACUGUUUGUUUGUAUUUUUUUUGGAUGUUUGAUAGCAUUCUUCCUAUUAUUAUAAAUUUAUAACAUUAUAAAUUUUACAUUUUUCAUGAAUAUAUUUUUCAAUCAUAUUUUUACUUCAUAUAUAUAAAAUCAUUACACUAUAUAUAUAUAUUUUUUACAAAAUCUUCAGAAAAUAGCAAUCAAAAUGGGUUCUAAGUAUGACUAUCUGAUCACAAAUUUAAAACUAAACAAAGAUUGAAAAUACACAAUUUUUACUUUAUCUAACACAACAAGAAGCAUUUGUACAAGCACGCUCCAAAAUAGUACACGAGUUACUAGAAAAAGCGAUUAGAAUAAAUCACAUGCCUACAAUACUUAGGGGGCGUUUGGUUCGCAGCUUGGAAUCGGAUUCGGAUUUGGAAUCGGAUAUCCUGGGUUUGGAAUGAGACCUUUCAUUCCAAUACAUCUGUUUGGUUCAAGUAUCUGAAAUGGGUAUCAUUACUAUACUUGAUGUUUGGUUCGUUGGUUCUUUCGGAAUGGAAUCUAAUAAAUUUCCAAUUUUAACCUUACCUGUAAAAUUGACAAUAAACCUUGUCUUAGAGUUUCAAAAGAAAAAUUACAUAAAUCUUUUUAAUAAUCUUGUCAUAUGUUGGGGAGAGUUAUGCAGGUUUUUGUAUUUUUAAGGGUAAACAACAAAAAAUCCCCCUGUGGUUAAGCAAUCAUACAUAAAAACCCCCUGUGGUUUCAUAUCAUACCAGUCGAUACCCCGUGGUUUGAAUUAACCUGAAAAGUGGACGAAAAUCGUCAAAACAGACGGAGCUGAGUGAAUAGACGAAAAUAAGGGGGAAACCCGCAAGCGGGUUUCAGGCAGGCUAUUUAACAAAUUACUUAAAAAAAAAAAAAAUUUUACAUGCAAGCUGCGUUGAGUUGCACAUGCCCAUCGGAGGGCCCUAGGAUGCCCAGCAAACCUCCCCUCUCAUCCUCACCCUUCAGGUGAGGGUUUGAGAGUAUGUGUUUGAUAUAAAUAGAACAGAAACGCAGCUUUUAGUCAUUUUACAUAAGGGGGAAACCCGCAAGCGGGUUUCAGGCUAUUUAACAAAUUAUAAUAUUCCACGGUCUGCACUUCUAAUCUUGCACCAAUAUGAAGUAGGUGGGUUUCAAGUGAUAACUCUCACAAAAUCAAUGGUUUGAGUAACGCCUAAAUUCCAAUUCGAUUUGCGAGUGGGGAACCUUUGGUGAUAUGAUGCAGAUCCGUACUUCAUCUAUUGAUACAAAUCUGAUGCUUAUUGGUUUUGGAUUCUUUUUGCAUUUUUUGGGUUGCAUUUGAGAUCAGCAUUCAAGAAGAUGAUGGAAUAAACUAUGAUUUUCAUUUUGACCCACAAAGUCAAUAGCGGAAGACAAAACAAAAAAGAGCCAGAACCCACAAAAAGAAGCACUAAAGCUCAAGAAUCAUGAAGAUCUGCUAACUGCUAAUAUCAGAAGAGAAAACAAAAUAAGAAAAGUGUGCAGAUUUGCCGGACCGUACAGAAAGCAUAGUACGUACUGCUCCAAGAGCAAAAAAUCUAAAGAAACUAGAGAUACAAACCUUUUAAGGAGCAAUCUACAAGGGAAAUGGAAGAUUGAGAAUCAGCAGAAGAAGAUCCACUAUUGCACAAAUUAUUCUUGUUUAUGGACUUGGAGAAUAGAGAACUUGGAACAAGAAAACAAACAGAAGAAAACUUGCGUACCUCUCUAGUAGCACAGAUGUGGUUUUCAUUCGUUUUUUUUCUUCUUCCCACGGCAAAAGCUCCAGCUUGUCGUGUUUUUAAGGGGUAAUUAGGGCAGAGAAUUGGGGGGAGAAAGGCGACGGAAAUAAUGAAAAAGAGAGGAAGAAGAGGGACCGGGAAUAAGAUUUGGGUUUUGGACAAAACCCACGAACUUAGUCAGGAAUGGAGAAAUGACAUAUUUUUAGAUAUCAUUCCAAUAUUUCAAUUCCAAUACCAGUAAACCAAACAUGAGUUAUGGGGUUUAUUCCAUAACCCCAUUCCGAUACCCUCUUACCAAACGCCCCCUUAGCCUUGUUUGGAUUGCCAGUUUCUGUCGAAAAAUUACGUCAUUUUCCGUGAUCACAUUUCCCUAUUACCUUUUUCCCUCAUAUACAUCAAAUCGCUACAGUAAUUUUUCCAUGAAAAAUCACGAAAAAUGCAAUCCAAACACAACCUUAUAAUUUAGGAAAGUGAUGAAAGAGCAAUUACAGGAAGUGAAAAAAAAAAUUUUUUUUGAAGUAAAGAUGGAGGAGACAUAUUUGUUGUAACAUAUCUUUGUAUUGUAAAUCAUUAAUAUCUCAAGCACCUAUUUUAGAAGUUUUAGCGAACACAGUAGUGACUUAUGAUGAGUUAUGGCAAUUUCAGGCGGAGUACUAGGAAACACAUCUGGAAAAUUCACUAGAUUGGAUAAAAAAAAGGUUUGAACCAUGAGGCUGCUAGAGAACAUCAGAAUAAUUCAUGUGUCCGCCAAAGAAUAUCUGAAUAAAAUCAUUAUGACAUCACCUUAGUUUCCUUCAGGUUCAAGUAAACCAUUGGAUUCCAGCCCAGUGGCCCCUCGCUGGGUGUAAAACAGGAUCGGAUCCCUCCCUGCACGUCAUGUGCCUUAGUACACAAUUUGACAGUUUCUUGACUGACUUCACUUUUAGAUGGUGCUUUAAUCACACCCGUCCGAUCCAUCCCCCAUCCCCCUAAUAUAGAACCAGUUGUAAUUGUUAUAAUAAAAAAAGGUAGAAGCACGUAUCACAGUUAUGACGGCGAUGUAAAGGCAGACAACAGGUAGCGCACUUCAAAAGCAUUGUGAAAGAAACUCAAAUGAACCUCCCCACCAUGCGUGUAACUGCAUAUGCUGUCUAACAAUCGCAUGCCCUCUCAGGAAGCUGAUAAGAAAAUUAUAUUCAUAUUCACCAAACAUUACAUUAUAGAACUAUAAAAGUAAAAUACUACUAUUAGAUUAUGCUUAUAGCAAGAGUAACAAUAAGUCAAUUUGGCUUUUAUAAGGAACGGGAUCAAACCUCUCAGGAAGCUGAUAUAUUUUCGCCAAUAAGGCUCUGUGCACAUUCCUCUAUUACAUUAAUACAAACCUAAGAUAUUGAAAAGUAACGAGCAUAAUGGAAAGACUUCCCAUCGUUUUUGCCAGCUCUAGAAAGGUGAUCCAUACGGCUUAAGAGAAUCCAGUAAAAGCCCCAAGAGAACAAAUUUUGAACAAGAGACUUUUCUGUUUUCCUGUUUUCCGAGGAGGAAGAAGCGGGAAAGGAUUGUUGCUGUCCGUCGUAUUAAAACUCAGGACCUGGUAAUCCAGCAAAUUUUCACCCGUAUUGGAACCUUAUCAUGCAGCAAAAAGCCAAGCAACUGAAACUCGAGCACUGGUCGGUUCAGCUCCUCAAUAUCUUCACCCAGCAGCAGCAAACCCUAUAACUUAGUGCCAUCUGCAAUUUACAAAUUCCAUUCAUAGUUAAGUUUCAAGAAUCAAGGGUCAAAAGCAAAAUCAGAGUAACAAGGAGAUGAGUGAAGACUUUCAGCCAGGAAACAUUACUCCCCUUCAGGAACAUUACCUGCAGCAGCUCUAUGAACUCGCAUUAGCAGCACAUACCGGACUUGCAUUUGUCUUCAUGCAAACUAUCUAGUAAACUCAGGAAGCACAGCCACAACACACACACACAAACAGAGAGAGAAAGAGAAGCAGGUAAAAAUGGUAUCCUUUUAAUUUCAUUGAUAAGGUUUUCCUCUAUCACUAUUGAAUAGAAUGUGCCAACAUAAACCAAUUCAUGAUUUCCCCCAAAACUGCAAGCACAUAAUUCCCCCACGAAAGAAAAGAAAAUAUCAAUAGCUCAAUGGCCUGUCAGAUCAAUAGUAUAUUACACUCCCCAUGUAGUACUCCGCUUCAUCCAACCACCUAUACCAGAUCAUUGUCCCACAAGUAAACCACAGGUCUGGCUGAAUCUUGCCCUCUUUUUAACAAGCAUCACAACAAUACACCUUGGUCUACCUUGCCCCGAGAGCAUGCAAAUGAUUCUCCAGUCUCAAGUAUUGGAUACUCUCCUUGACUGGGAGUCGGAUCCCGCGAGGCUUUAAUUGCCAAGCUUAAGCCAAGUCUCACUUGGAAAUCUCAGAGCAUUUGCCAGAUUCCAAAUUCAACCUUUAGCCAAUAUCUGUAAAUUCUGGCAAUAUCAAAUAAUCAUCCAACCCAGAAAUGAACCCAGGAACAUAGUCAUGUGCAACCAUAUCUGAGCUGUCAGUUGCCAUUGGAAGUUCAGGAUUGAUGUUAAAGGGAGAACUGACACAAAGGUCAGCCAUUCCAAUUUCAGCGCUGCUGGUUGAUACCACAUCAUCUUUUACACAGAAAUCACUGAGUACUGGAUGGAGUACUGGAUCAGCUGCAAAACUACGGGCAUCACUAGAUUCUGUAGUUGUCUUUCUCAAUUUUGAUCUGGACGACUUAUUUGAAUCAGAAACUAAUAGCUUGUGUUUCCCCAGAGAUUGUACUUUCAUUGGAGUUCGAGACUUUGCAUCCCCAACAGGGAAAGCCAAAGUAGCCCAACCAAAACUAUCUUCAAGACAAGCUCUAGAUGCAGCUCUGUAAAGAUCCAAGAGUUACAUAUUAAGUUCUCAAAAACUAUAUAAUAUAUUGCUUAUAAAUACACUAAAUAGCAAGUGCUUAGUUGUCAAUCAAAGAAAAAGUAAAAAGGGCAGCAACCUUAUUUUCAACUUUGCAUUUUUCUUUAUUUUAGGUGAUUUCAUGAAACACAGGACUGCAUUAAUGAAUAAGAAAUAAACCCAAGGACAAAAUUGACCGAUCAAGAGAUUAAGAGAGUGUUCGAAGACAAGGCUGAGGCCCCAAGAAAGAUUUCAUCCUAACAUCUCAUAUACCAUAAAUAAAAUGGCUUGAAAAUAGCACAAAUAUUGGGGUAAAAAAAAGAGUGAUAGACACUUAAUUUUCCCAAAACUGGCACUUGUCAAUAAUAGGUGCAAGAAAGAAAAAGGAAAGUUCCAGUGAAAUUGUAUGUGGCUCCAGGGUGACAUGCAGUAAACAUAUUUAGUAAAAAACCGAAGAAAAACAUUCCUGCUUUACUCCACAGGGUAGCAAUAGCCAUGUAGAGUUUGUUUGCUUCUAGGCAGUUGGAUGAUGCACUUGCAAAUCAUUGAAUCGAGAAUACAGCACAGCACAUUAACUUAAGUUUUUAUUAUUAAAAGCAAGUAAAUGUCUUGCUGCAAUAAGCAAUACCUGAACCGAUUUUCUGCCAAAUCCUGGAAAGGUUUGAGAUGAUUUUCUUGUCCAAUGGUUUUUGAAGAUGGUGGAGUCUCACGCCCAAGUAUCGAAAGAUUUACAACAGAUGGAAGGUUUAAUGUUGUAUCAUGCUCACCACCCAGUAAUUGUAGCGUAACAUCGAGUCUCUCUGAAACAACAGAAGCUUCAUCCCUCUGCUUGGAGAUAGGAACAUUGUCAUCCUUUUUAGCUGUGUGAUCAUCACAGAGAGCAGCUGCUACUAACUUACCAGAUGCAAAAGAAUUGGUGAAUUUCAUCGACUCCAACGAUUCUCCACUGAAAUCCCUGGAGACGACGUUCAACGGAGAGGUGACUGCCUUUCGAUAAGAAGAGGAGGCAUUUUGAGAAGGUGCAAGGUUGUGUCUGUUAGUCUUAAGAGAUGAAAACCUCCAUACAGAAGAAAGAAGGGCAAAAAAAUGCUUUUGAAUAAGAGGUUCAGCAUCAGAAAACUGAGAAGCAACAUCUAGCAACAUCCUGGUAUGGUCCUGACGCAAAAGGAGGACAGGGAUUAGCUAAAUCUAAACAAAAGCUUCUUCCAUAUUGACAAGGCAGAGUGCAUUGACAAUGCAUUUUACUAAAGAAACUUGAGAUAACAUUUAAACCAAAAAACUGUAGGUAAAAAAUGAGACUACAAAAAAAAGUAAUACCAUCUCCAAUUGAUGAAAGUUGACAAUGUACUAUAAAAUGAAUAAUAGACCAAAAGAAGGCUAGAUUUGCCAUAACCAACAAUACUUUUGAAGCAGCUCAUUCAAAUAAUACACACCAAAAGAAAUACACUCAUUUGCAAAGUUUUCAUGAUGCUAUAAAUUCUUGUACAAUCUCAAGACGCUAUCUCCAUGUAAAAUGAGGCACAGAAAUACCUGGAGAACAAUGCAUUGAACAUAUGUACACAUAAUGAAGGAUAGAAUGAUGCAAGAAUUUAAGGAAAAGCUCGACACUCAGUCUGCAGCAGCAUUGAACCACAUCAUCAAUUUCAAGGUAUUGUACAUCAUUUGAAAAACCUUUAGCUUCAUUAUAUCUCCUUAUUUUACAAAAUAUCAAGGAAUCUCAUCCUAUCAACAAUUCUAAGGUCAUAGCUGGGGUCCCUGAUUCAUGCUCUAAGCAAAGUGCAAACUGCGCUUUAUCAGAAUCCUGAGUUGUAAACAAGUUACCAGUCCAAUUAGAGUCAAGAACAUUAAGAUUAGCACUUCUUAACCAUUGCCACUUCAAAUUUAAGUAGGCACAAUAGCUAAAAUUCAAAACC
This 42348-nucleotide long non-coding RNA is filed under the name Coffea arabica (coffee). Its description in RNAcentral is "long non-coding RNA (CARA_LNC004552)". Lineage: Eukaryota; Viridiplantae; Streptophyta; Magnoliopsida; Gentianales; Rubiaceae. The record is from RNAcentral.